GACGUAGGGCGCGAGCGUUGUCCGGAUUUAUUGGGCGUAAAGAGCUCGUAGGCGGCUUGUCGCGUCGAAUGUGAAAACCCACGGCUCAACUGUGGGCUUGCAUUCGAUACGGGCAGACUAGAGUUCGGUAGGGGAGACUGGAAUUCCUGGUGUAGCGGUGAAAUGCGCAGAUAUCAGGAGGAACACCGGUGGCGAAGGCGGGUCUCUGGGCCGAAACUGACGCUGGAGGAGCGAAAGCGUGGGGAGCGAACAGG
Molecule: ribosomal RNA, 254 nt
Filed under: uncultured bacterium
Lineage: Bacteria
Description: partial 16S ribosomal RNA
Rfam family: Bacterial small subunit ribosomal RNA
Source: RNAcentral